GAUGAACGCUAGCGGCAGGCUUAAUACAUGCAAGUCGUGGGGCAGCAUGAGUAGCAAUACUUGAUGGCGACCGGCAAACGGGUGCGGAACACGUACACAACCUUCCGAUAAGUGGGGAAUAGCCCAGAGAAAUUUGGAUUAAUACCCCGUAACAUAUAGAGUAGGCAUCUUCUUUAUAUUAUAGCUUCGGCGCUUAUUGAUGGGUGUGCGUCUGAUUAGGUAGUUGGCGGGGUAACGGCCCACCAAGCCUACGAUCAGUAGCUGGUGUGAGAGCAUGAUCAGCCACACGGGCACUGAGAAACGGGCCCGACUCCUACGGGAGGCAGCAGUAAGGAAUAUUGGACAAUGGGCGAAGGCCUGAUCCAGCCAUGCCGCGUGAAGGAUUAAGGUCCUCUGGAUUGUAAACUUCUUUUAUUUGGGACGAAAAAAGGGAAUUCUUUCCCACUUGACGGUACCAAGUGAAUAAGCACCGGCUAACUCCGUGCCAGCCGCCGCGGUAA
RNAcentral lists this ribosomal RNA (500 nucleotides) under uncultured bacterium. RNAcentral describes it as "partial 16S ribosomal RNA". It matches the Rfam family "Bacterial small subunit ribosomal RNA", at positions 28 to 523 of the family's 1533-position model. The record is from RNAcentral.